ACCCUGACUAAGACAGUACCCAAGGAG
This 27-nucleotide unclassified non-coding RNA is filed under the name Mus musculus (house mouse). Its description in RNAcentral is "oocyte_clustered_small_RNA12426". Lineage: Eukaryota; Metazoa; Chordata; Mammalia; Rodentia; Muridae. The record is from RNAcentral.